AUUGAACGCUGGCGGCAUGCCUUACACAUGCAAGUCGAACGGUAACAGGUUAAGCUGACGAGUGGCGAACGGGGGAGUAAUGUAUCGGAACGUGCCCAGUCGUGGGGGAUAACUGCUCGAAAGAGCAGCUAAUACCGCAUACGACCUGAGGGUGAAAGCGGGGGAUCGCAAGACCUCGCGCGAUUGGAGCGGCCGAUAUCAGAUUAGGUAGUUGGUGAGGUAAAGGCUCACCAAGCCGACGAUCUGUAGCUGGUCUGAGAGGACGACCAGCCACACUGGGACUGAGACACGGCCCAGACUCCUACGGGAGGCAGCAGUGGGGAAUUUUGGACAAUGGGCGCAAGCCUGAUCCAGCCAUGCCGCGUGCGGGAAGAAGGCCUUCGGGUUGUAAACAGCUUUUGUCAGGGAAGAAAAGGUUCUGGCUAAUACCUGGGACUCAUGACGGUACCUGAAGAAUAAGCACCGGCUAACUACGUG
Molecule: ribosomal RNA, 477 nt
Filed under: uncultured bacterium
Lineage: Bacteria
Description: partial 16S ribosomal RNA
Rfam family: Bacterial small subunit ribosomal RNA
Source: RNAcentral